RNAcentral lists this ribosomal RNA (253 nucleotides) under uncultured bacterium. Its description in RNAcentral is "partial 16S ribosomal RNA". It matches the Rfam family "Bacterial small subunit ribosomal RNA", at positions 524 to 776 of the family's 1533-position model. The record is from RNAcentral.
UACAGAGGUGGCAAGCGUUGUUCGGAAUUACUGGGCGUAAAGGGCGCGUAGGCGGCCUUCUAAGUCAGACGUGAAAUCCCCCGGCUUAACCUGGGAACUGCGUCUGAUACUGGAUGGCUUGAGUAUGGGAGAGGGAUGUAGAAUUCCAGGUGUAGCGGUGAAAUGCGUAGAUAUCUGGAGGAAUACCGGUGGCGAAGGCGGCAUCCUGGACCAUUACUGACGCUGAGGCGCGAAAGCUAGGGGAGCAAACGGG